Molecule: long non-coding RNA, 253 nt
Organism: Mytilus trossulus (common blue mussel)
Lineage: Eukaryota; Metazoa; Mollusca; Bivalvia; Mytilida; Mytilidae
Exons: 3
Source: RefSeq, a predicted model, not a curated record
AACGGUGUUUUUUAAAUCUUUUGCUGACGACAACUUCCAAAUCUACAUAAGACCAGGAUUUUUUAAGGGAACAAGAAAUCUUCAUAGGGAUACAUAGAUUGAACAUUUUCUAAAUGGAUCCACAGAACUCUGUGUCUCACCUGCAGUUGCUGCUGUUAGUGUAAAAGUGUGAUGUUGACUAUAAAAAUUUCAGCAACAGAAUAAAGAAUUCCAAGAGUCUAAUACGGUUUAUUAAACAGGAUUUUAUCAUUGA